GUCACACUCCCAUGAGCUUCACCUCUGCCUUCCUGAUUUCCAGUCCCAGCCUUCACUGGUUAUUGUGCAGUUCCUCUCUGACUUGUCUUCUGCGCGCUUGGACAUGCCCCUGCUCGAGCUGGGCGCAGCACGCCCAUGCAGCGACAAGGCUGCAGGCAAUUGCUCAUCAGCGCACCCGGACCUGAUAAGAGGGAGCGGCAUAAAAGCCAACGGACCCAAGAGACCUUCGCCAGAACGUAGCCAAUCUCCCUGAUGUCUUCCCUGUUGCCUGUGAUCGUGUCUCGCCUCACGACCUCCUUCCGGAUCUCUGCUUGCCUCCCUUGAUCCUCGACCCCUGCUUUGACACAGACAUUGUUGCCUCUCUCCAGCCCCCAACUGCUUGCCUCCCCGCUGACUGCCUCUUCGCCUUCUUCCUUGGAUUCGGCGAAAGACACACCGACAACGUCCCCUGGUAAAACUCACAUUGUUAAUUCUACACA
This is a long non-coding RNA of Nerophis ophidion (straightnose pipefish), 479 nucleotides long. RefSeq lists it as uncharacterized. The transcript is spliced from 3 exons. Lineage: Eukaryota; Metazoa; Chordata; Actinopteri; Syngnathiformes; Syngnathidae. The record is from RefSeq and is a predicted model, not a curated record.